CGCUAUAGCUCAGCAGGUAGAGCAACUGAUUUGUAAUCAGUAGGUCCCGAGUUCGAUUCUUGGUGGCG
RNAcentral lists this transfer RNA (68 nucleotides) under marine eukaryotic metagenome. It matches the Rfam family "tRNA". From Rfam's summary of the family: Transfer RNA (tRNA) molecules are approximately 80 nucleotides in length. Their secondary structure includes four short double-helical elements and three loops (D, anti-codon, and T loops). Further hydrogen bonds mediate the characteristic L-shaped molecular structure. tRNAs have two regions of fundamental functional importance: the anti-codon, which is responsible for specific mRNA codon recognition, and the 3' end, to which the tRNAs corresponding amino acid is attached (by aminoacyl-tRNA synthetases). tRNAs cope with the degeneracy of the genetic code in two manners: having more than one tRNA (with a specific anti-codon) for a particular amino acid; and 'wobble' base-pairing, i.e. permitting non-standard base-pairing at the 3rd anti-codon position. The record is from RNAcentral.